RNAcentral lists this small RNA (507 nucleotides) under Pongo abelii (Sumatran orangutan). Its description in RNAcentral is "processed transcript". The record is from RNAcentral. Lineage: Eukaryota; Metazoa; Chordata; Mammalia; Primates; Hominidae.
CUUGAUGAUUCAUCUCCAUGAGUGCACAAUCCCUGAACUCACUGUCUUUUCUCCACACUUGUCCCAAGCCAAGGUAGAUUUGUACGUAGACAGACUGCUGACCAUCUGCCUCUUGAGAGAGAGAGAAGUGGGCAUCCUUCCUUUAAAUUCAGGAACCACUGUUGUUUUAUUUGACUUUUUCUGUUACUUGCAUCCCUUAUAUAAGUUGUUUUGGAUUUGGGAUUAUGUUUUGGGGGAGAAAAAUUCCAGUUAGUUCUGUUUUUUGUAUUGGUUAUUCAGCUUACUUUUGGUAUCAAAAUUAUGCCAGUUUUAAGCUCACUUGAGUGAAGUUUAAGUCACAAGAUUCUGUUUAAUAUGCUUUCCUCGUUUUGGAAAUAACCAAAAACUUCCCUUUUUUGUUACGGGAUUUUGACCUACAAAUCCUAAUCAUGUUUAAAAUGUGCCGGUGUUGGGUAGAUGACUUUUCUGCCUCUGGGGUUCAGUUUAUAUUUAAAGAUACCUUAAAAU